Anolis carolinensis (green anole) is the source of this 676-nucleotide long non-coding RNA. RefSeq lists it as uncharacterized. The transcript has 3 exons. NCBI's taxonomy places the organism in Eukaryota, Metazoa, Chordata, Lepidosauria, Squamata, Anolidae. The record is from RefSeq and is a predicted model, not a curated record.
CCCGCCCAAUUUGGCUUGUCUGAGCCUGUGAUGUGCGGGAGAAUCCUCCAAUCGGGCGGCGACACAUGGAAAAAGGGUGGGACCAAGGCGGAAAAGGCGGCCGGAUUGGGAGGCGAACAUAUAUUAUAGAUCACAACGGAGUGCGCAUGCGUCGAACAGCUCCCUGCUUUCCCGCCCAAAUUGGCGAAUCCCUGUCUGAGCCUGUGACGUGCGGGAGAAUCGUCCAAUCGGGUGGCGACACAUGGAGAAGGGGUGGGACCAAGGCUAAAAAAAAACGGCCGUUUUGGAGGCGGGGCUUCUUCUUGGCUGUUAAUUGUAAAAUUUACCUCAGACAAGCCCGGGACCCCGAGAGAGAAGGCAGCUCGGCCUGGCAGCCAUUCUGAAGACCUGGUUCGGAAGAAAGAAAGAAAGAAAGAAGGAAGGAAAGCAAGGGCAGCCGUGGCUGGAAGGCCCCGAGGAGACAGGCGGGGAAGGCGGGCUCUCCUCAGGCCACUCACAGCCAGGCUCCGUUUCCGAUACAGAGAAAUGGCAAAGCCUUGUGAAACGGAUGGAAGAAAUAAAGGCAAAAUUUUUGAAAAUUUCCACAGCUUUUUCUAAAGGGACCAGCUCUGAAUUCAAGUCAACGUGAAGAAACAAAAGGUCAAGAGACAGAGGACGGAAGAUGCUUGAAGACACC